Molecule: ribosomal RNA, 898 nt
Filed under: Acinetobacter indicus
Lineage: Bacteria; Pseudomonadati; Pseudomonadota; Gammaproteobacteria; Moraxellales; Moraxellaceae
Description: bacterial SSU rRNA
Rfam family: Bacterial small subunit ribosomal RNA
Source: RNAcentral
UUAUAAUUUUUUUUCUCUGCUCAGAUUGAACGCUGGCGGCAGGCUUAACACAUGCUAGUCGAGCGGAGCGAGGGUGCUUGCACCUUAGCUUACGGCGGACGGGUGAGUAAUGCUUAGGAAUCUGCCUAUUAGUGGGGGACAACAUUCCGAAAGGGAUGCUAAUACCGCAUACGCCCUACGGGGGAAAGCAGGGGAUCUUCGGACCUUGCGCUAAUACAUGAGCCUAAGUCGGAUUAGCUAGUUGGUGGGGUAAAGGCCUACCAAGGCGACGAUCUGUACGGGUCUGAUAGGAUGAUCCGCAACGCUGGGACUGAGACACGGCCAAGACUCCUACGGGAGGCAGCAGUGGGGAAUAUUGGACAAUGGGCGGAACCCUGAUCCAGCCAUGCCGCGUGUGUGAAGAAGGCCUUUUGGUUGUAAAGCACUUUAAGCGAGGAGGAGGCGCUCUAGGAUAUUACCCUAGAUGCGUGGACGUUACUCGCAGAAUAAGCACCGGCUAACUCUGUGCCAGCAGCCGCGGUAAUACAGAGGGUGCGAGCGUUAAUCGGAUUUACUGGGCGUAAAGCGCGCGUAGGUGGCUAAUUAAGUCAAAUGUGAAAUCCCCGAGCUUAACUUGGGAAUUGCAUUCGAUACUGGUUAACUAGAGUAUGGGAGAGGAUGGUAGAAUUCCAGGUGUAGCGGUGAAAUGCGUAGAGAUCUGGAGGAAUACCGAUGGCGAAGGCAGCCAUCUGGCCUAAUACUGACACUGAGGUGCGAAAGCAUGGGGAGCAAACAGGAUUAGAUACCCUGGUAGUCCAUGCCGUAAACGAUGUCUACUAGCCGUUGGGGCCUUUGAGGCUUUAGUGGCGCAGCUAACGCGAUAAGUAGACCGCCUGGGGAGUACGGUCGCAAGACUAAA